RNAcentral lists this ribosomal RNA (359 nucleotides) under uncultured fungus. RNAcentral's name for it is "eukaryotic LSU rRNA". The stretch from base 1 to 52 matches the Rfam family "5.8S ribosomal RNA", at positions 103 to 154 of the family's 154-position model. The record is from RNAcentral. Lineage: Eukaryota; Fungi.
AACGCACCUUGCACCCUUUGGUAUUCCGAAGGGUAUGCCUGUUUGAGUGUCUUGAAACUCUCAAAUCUUGUAUUUCCUAUUUUUUUGGGAAAUGCAGGCUAUUUUGGUCUUGAGCGUUUUGCCAGUUUUAUUGUCACCGAUAUGAACUGGCUCGCUUUAAAUGAAUUAGCUGAGCUCUAUUGUAUAAACAGUCUCACACAAGCGUAAUACAUAUUUCGUUUGUUUUGUUGCUCCUUCACGGGAGCGCAAGGAUCGUUAGAACAACCAAGCUUGUGCUGCCUUAAUCUGCUCAUCGAAAGAUGUACCAUUUAACAUAUUCAUCAGACCUCAAAUCAGGUAGGACUACCCGCUGAACUUAA